Non-coding RNA from Heterocephalus glaber (naked mole-rat), 466 nucleotides. Lineage: Eukaryota; Metazoa; Chordata; Mammalia; Rodentia; Bathyergidae. The record is from RefSeq and is a predicted model, not a curated record.
CUAGGCCCAGGUCCUUAACCCCACAGCGCCCGGCCCAAGCUUCAAAGAAGAUGCUCUCCCGUGUCCCCACGCUCCAGUCAGAAAUCCGGACUCCGGAUCCGGACUCCGAGAGAACACAGACACCACAAGGCACAUGCGGUGCCUGUCCAGAGCUCUACAGACUCAGACUGGGUUGAGAAAUGAAAGAAGAGAUCACACUGUCCCAGCAUAACCCUGAGGAGCCCUGAGGAACCCUGGGGCAGGCCCAGGAAGUUCUGCUCUUCAAGUAAAGGUCGACCUGGCCACCGCCAGAAAAGAAGAGAAACUGGGCAACGAGGAGCAGCCUUUCAGGUCCUGCAGGUUACAGGUCUGCUGUGAUUCUGGUGGGGAUGGGUCACAAGACUUGGAAAGCAUUAAAGCCAAUGAUACCCAAGGACAGUGUACCCUCCUCUGCUUUGAAACAACAGUGAACAAAUGGCCUACACUG